RNAcentral lists this ribosomal RNA (252 nucleotides) under uncultured bacterium. Its description in RNAcentral is "partial 16S ribosomal RNA". It matches the Rfam family "Bacterial small subunit ribosomal RNA", at positions 524 to 776 of the family's 1533-position model. The record is from RNAcentral.
UACGGAGGGUGCAAGCGUCAUCCGGAAUUAUUGGGCGUAAAGAGUGCGUAGGUGGUUUUGUAAGCGCGAGGUGAAAGGCUAUGGCUCAACCAUAGUAAGCCUUGCGAACUGCAAGACUUGAGUGCAGGAGAGGAAAGUGGAAUUCCUAGUGUAGCGGUGAAAUGCGUAGAUAUUAGGAGGAACACCAGUGGCGAAGGCGACUUUCUGGACUGUAACUGACACUGAGGCACGAAAGCAUGGGGAGCAAACAGG